Molecule: ribosomal RNA, 253 nt
Filed under: uncultured bacterium
Lineage: Bacteria
Description: partial 16S ribosomal RNA
Rfam family: Bacterial small subunit ribosomal RNA
Source: RNAcentral
GACGAACCGUGCGAACGUUGUUCAGAAUCACUGGGCUUAAAGGGCGCGUAGGCGGCAGUUCAAGUCCGGGGUGAAAUCCUCCAGCUCAACUGGAGAAGUGCCUUGGAUACUGGAUUGCUCGAGGGAGGUAGGGGUCGAGGGAACUUCUGGUGGAGCGGUGAAAUGCGUUGAUAUCAGAAGGAACGCCGGUGGCGAAAGCGCUCGACUGGACCUCUUCUGACGCUGAGGCGCGAAAGCUAGGGGAGCAAACGGG